Molecule: ribosomal RNA, 459 nt
Filed under: uncultured bacterium
Lineage: Bacteria
Description: partial 16S ribosomal RNA
Rfam family: Bacterial small subunit ribosomal RNA
Source: RNAcentral
CCUACGGGCGGCAGCAGUGAGGAAUAUUGGUCAAUGGGCGAGAGCCUGAACCAGCCAAGCCGCGUGAGGGAUGACGGCCCUAUGGGUUGUAAACCUCUUUUGUCAGGGAAUAAAGCCCGCGACGUGUCGCGGUCUGUGUGUACCUGAUGAAUAAGCAUCGGCUAACUCCGUGCCAGCAGCCGCGGUAAUACGGAGGAUGCGAGCGUUAUCCGGAUUUAUUGGGUUUAAAGGGUGCGUAGGCGGUCCGUUAAGUCAGCGGUAAAAUCGCGGGGCUCAACCCCGCCGAGCCGUUGAAACUGGCAGACUUGAGUAUGCGAGGAGUACGCGGAAUGCGCGGUGUAGCGGUGAAAUGCAUAGAGAUCGCGCAGAACUCCGAUUGCGAAGGCAGCGUACCGGCGCCAGACUGACGCUGAGGCACGAAAGCGUGGGUAUCGAACAGGAUUAGAUACCCCUGUAGUC